Molecule: ribosomal RNA, 466 nt
Filed under: uncultured bacterium
Lineage: Bacteria
Description: SSU rRNA
Rfam family: Bacterial small subunit ribosomal RNA
Source: RNAcentral
AGGACUAACGCUGGCGGCGUGCCUAACACAUGCAAGUCGAACGAGAGUAGCAAUACUCUAGUGGCAGACGGGUGAGUAACACGUGGUCAACCUACCUCUAUGUGGGGGAUAACUAGCCGAAAGGUUAGCUAAUACCGCAUACGAUCGUCGAGCGGCAUCGCUUGACGAUGAAAGGAGCAAUCCGCAGAGAGACGGGACCGCGUCCCAUUAGCUAGUUGGUGGGGUAAAGGCCUACCAAGGCGACGAUGGGUAGCUGGCUUGAGAGAGCGACCAGCCACACUGGGACUGAGACACGGCCCAGACUCCUACGGGAGGCAGCAGUGAGGAAUUUUCCGCAAUGGGCGAAAGCCUGACGGAGCGACGCCGCGUGUGGGAAGAAGGCCUUCGGGUCGUAAACCACUGUCGAAGGGGAAGAUAUUGACGGUACCCUUGGAGGAAGCCCGGCUAACUACGUGCCAGCAGCCGC